AUAAAAUAAUGGUGACUUUUUCUGAGUCAAGGAAAAUUAGCAUAAGAGGAGAGUGGAAAAGAAAAAUAAAUAUUUCUGUUUUCCAUGUUGACGUUUUUUCACCUGGUUUAUCACCUUACCUACUGGCUAUGUCAAUUCCAAUUCCAAGUGACCCAGAAUAAGAAUGCAAUACUCAAUUGAAAGAACAAAUUCAAGGGAAAAAUUUUGAUCAACUUUGUCUUCUGUUUAGUCAUGGAAAGAAACAACUGAAAAUUCUCAGGAAAAUAAGACAGCUAGAGGAAAUCCAGGAAAACAGUGGUGAUUAGUAGGUAUAGGAAGAAUUAACUGAUGUUCGAAAGGUAAAGAAAGGCUAGGUGGGUGGAACUGAUUCUUCCUACUUCUAAUUCUGAAAAACUGGUAAAAAUUUGGAGCUACAAGGUGUCCUCAUUUGUCUAUUAAGAAAUAUAGAUCCUCUCUCUUUUUUGAACACAAAAACAAAGAGUAUAUUCCAAAGGAGAUAUAUCACAAUAUAUCAAGAAAUAUUUUUAAGCUAUGAGAAUGAAAUUAAUCAAGCCAAUAAGAUGUUGUAAAAUAGGCCUGAAAUGAUAUAAGGAAACAUGUUUAAGGAAGGUGGAAAUAAAAUGAGUUGCUAUUAAUCUUAAAGUGUGCAUGACAAAAUAUUAAGCAUGAAUGGGUAUACAUACAAUUCUUAAUAUAUAAUAACAGCAGGUUAAACAUUAUGAGAAAGAACAGGGACAUUAUCUGCUUGCAGUGCUUUUUUUAAGUAAGAAAAGUGUAUCCAAACUUACAUGUGUAUUUUGGGAGCUAUUAUGAAGAUAGACAAAUUUGAAGAAGGCAAGUAGGUCUUUUAUGAGACUAGGAUGAAAAGGAUUUUGAGAAAAGAGGAAUAACUUACAGAAGGAUAUAAACUACUGGCACAAAAAUGAGUAGCUAUUCUUCCUAUUGAGAACAAAACAAGAGAAAAUAGGCUUACAUCAUAGAGAAAGGGAUUUAAAUUUUGUACAAGUUAAAACAUCCAAACUAAAAAAGUUUUGAGAUCCUGGUUGGAUAUUUUUGUUUGUUUUUACUUUGAAAAUCAUUAAGUAUAAGUUAUACUCCCAUUUCUGCUUUUAGCAAUGCCAAUAUUACAUAUAGCACUGAACUCUGCUUGUGCUUGAUAUCACAACUGGUAUUUCAGUAUAUAGAGACUUCUUAUGCAAAGAAUGCCAACCAGCUUAUCUGUAUCAAUUUUAAACAAGAGAGUAAAUGAUCUUUAAUUGUAUCAGAAUUUGGUUAACUAUAGAGAAGAAUUUCCUGCUGGAGAGGAAUGUUAAAACCUUGAAAUGAAAUCCUUCGGGACUAGGUAAUAAUGAGUAGAACAUAGGGAGAUGAAGUACAGCUGGAUGAUGAUUGAGUAGGAAUUUCACUGCUCAACUUAUCAGCCAGGUGUGCCCAGAGAGUUUGGUUCAAACACCAAUUACCAUUGGAAUGGAGGGCAAAUGAGAAAGUGGAGUAUUGUGGUAUUGGGGCCAUCAGGGGAAUGAUUUUGGCAUCACUUCAAAUCUUUCUAAGCCCACAUUAGACUAACUUGAACCAGUCAAGGGCCAGUGCUGUUGUCCUCCCUUAGCACAAAACAGAAGGACUUCCAGAACAGGUGAGUGGAGUGAAAAUAACCUCAUAAGUGGUUUACCUCACUAUUAUUUGAACGCUAGGUGCUAUGUCUAAAAACAGCUUUAUAAGCAUUUUCUUAAUUAAGCAUUAUAGGGAACUUGAUAAGGAAAGUGAAGGAAGGUGAAAAAGAUGUUAUUUAAAUUUGUAUUUUACAGAAGAUAUUAAGACUUUAGAUAGUAUAACUUUACCCCAAAUCCCAUAGCAAGUGAAUCAGGUCAGUCUUACUCUAUAGAUAAUAUUUUCACAUAUUCUCAGUCAUUAUACAAUAUGCUGAUUCAACUAGAUUUUGAAAAUAUAGCACAUUUCUGUAAACAAGACCAUUCUAUUUUACUAUGUUCAUUUGUUUACUGAGUUAUUGAUGUACUUAGAAAAUACAAAUGUUUAGAAAAAUGCACUUUCUCAUUAAUAAUUUAGUUACUGAUAAAAUGUCUAAUUUCUUUAUGUUAUGCUAAUUUCAGAUUUUUAAAAACCUUAUUAAUAUGCAUCUAUUAUUUGCUGGAAUUGAAAGAUUAGUCAUUCCCCCUUAUGCAUGAGAAAAUGGAAUAAUCUUUUCUGACAGUUUUUGAAGGAACUGUACUCUGGAGGAAAAACAAAUUUCAAUCAUAUAAAAUUUGCCUUUCAAUAACACAUUUAUGUCCUUUAUUUGCCCUCCAGUAAAAUAUGAUUAUGUUAGAUCACAUUUCUUUAGAUAUAUACAAAUUAGGCAUAUUGCACAAUGGCUAGGAAUUAUUUUCCUAAUGUUUCACAAUAGCUAGAAUUAAUUGAAAUCCUCUAGGAUAUAUGAGGCUGGAAGUGUGUCAUGUUCAUGGUAUAGUAGGAAAUAAUUAGAUCUGCAGUGAAGAGACACUCCCAAUUAAAUCUUUAUGGGAAAAUGAUUCUGAAAUUAGCUUUAAGGAAAUUGAAUGGAAGCAGAUCAUAGGCAAAAUGUAAUACUCAUGCAUAGUAUUAACAAGAAUAUUUUAUAUGUGUGCAUGGAACUACAUCAUCUCCUUUAGAAUCGGGAUAUAAUUUGUGUGACAUAUUAGAGGAAGUGUGGUCUAUAAAAGAUGAACUAAAAAGGAUGGAAAACAUCUUUUUGUCACAACAGGAAGUAAUAGAGCAACAGCCAAUGUCUAGUUUACAAAUUUGUGUAUAAAUCUUAAUAGAAGAAAUUCUGAAUGCAAGUUAAUAUCAUAGAGUUCACAUAAGAUACAGAUUGAUAAAGACAAAAUUUUUGGAGUCCAGUUUUAUUGAGGUGUAAUUUACAUAUAGUACAGUAUAAGUUUAAGGUGUAUAGCAAAUGAUUUGUGUUACAUAUGUUGUGAAAUGAGUACCAUAAUAAUUUUAAUUAAUACCAGAUACCAAUAUCUUAAUUUUAAUAAGAUACCAAUAUCUUAAUUGUUAGAUUCUGACAAUUUCCAAAUUUCUUUAUUAAAUAUAUUUUAUGAAUACAUUGUUUGAUGGACCGCAAGGAAAAUACCAUAAAGAUCUUAUAUUUCUAAAUUGAUUGAUAAGAUUUAUACAAUAAAUCUCUCUUGAAUUCAAGUGAAACAGGGCGAAUUUUUUAAAAGUCUGAAAGAAAUGUAUAUUUGUGAACACUCCAAUUUUUGUUUUAUUGUCUUGUCUCGGAAGUUCUAAUACAACUUCUUUCUUUUUUAUUUCCAACAACAUUUAAAUAAUAUUGUUUCAUAGUGUAAAAUAUUUGUAUAAUUCUUGAUGUAACUGAAGCAUUCUAGAUUGGGCGAUGGGGAAGGGGGGGGCUUUCCUAUUUUAUAAAACAAAACAAAACAAAAAAACACUUAGAUUCAGAGAGGUGAAAUAACUGGCCAAAUCCAGAAAGUCUGGUUGCUGCUUAGUGACAUUUGCAACUAGAAGUGAAUUCCCUACCUUUGAUCUUAAGCCUCUAGUUUUACCUGGAACCAAAAUGCUUCUAAUGGAUAGCUACUUGCUUGUAAUCAUCCAUCCUUGGACAAAUGUUCAGUGUACAGUGGAUAGAAACACUUUUUAAAAGUUAAAUUUGAGGACAUUUAUGCUCAUGCUGAGGUGCGGCUUUAAAUGUUUUCCUGUAUCAUUAUUGACAUUCAAUUAUCUUGUGGAAAGUUUGUGGCCUCCAGGUUUUUGUCAUAACAUUCCAAUUAUAAUUUACAUAGUGCUUCUAGUGAUUGGCAAGGAGAGUGCAGUGUUAUUCACAUGCAGAAUUUCAGUCCUCGAUGAGUAAGCUAUUAUAUAUAAAAGAAAGCAUUUUAAGCAAAUUGAUUUUCUGUGUAGAGCUUUAGCCCAAAAGGGGCUCUGUACAAAAAUCAAGAUCAAUAGUUCUAAACAAAGCUAAAUUGAAUCAUGUCACCGCUUUAAUUUUAUAAGAGUUUUAAUGUAAGAUAAAUAUAAAGUUGCUUUGCAAUCUUUCUUGUUGGUUGUCCUAAUUUCAAUAACAAUUGGUGCAUAUUUCAUUACACCUCUUGCUGUUGACACUAGAACCUCAGGUAGAGUUGACAGUGGGGGAAGCACCUUAUAUAUGGCACCAAAGGCAGAUUACCGGACACACUGUGUCAUCUGUUUAACCAAAACUCUGGUAAAACUCAACUCUAUUGUGAUAACUAAACUGAUGUUAUGGGUGUCAUAUGAAAGAGAGAAAAUGAACAGAGUAAUUCCUGCUACUGUGGAGCAGUUGAGGACAAUGUUUGGGUAGCUUUAUGUUAGCACAUUAAAUUAUGACACUUUUAUUAUAGAAGAUGUGGUAUCUUCAAAGAGAAAGGGUUGAUAUGGAAUGUAAAUGAUUAUUCUGACAAUGCAAGUGUAUUUGUUUCAAUAAUGGAAAUAUUUGGAGAGAGACUGACUGAUGUAAAUAAUUAGCUGGGAGUUCCCGUCGUGGCUCAGCAGUAAUGAACCCGACUAGUAUCCAUGAGGAUGCAGGCUUGAUCCCUGGCCUUGCUCAGUAGAUUAAGGAUCCAGCAUUGCUGUGAGCUGUGGUGUAGGUCACAGAUGCAGCGUGGAUUCCACAGCGUCUGUGGCUGUGGUGUAGGCUGGCAGCU
RNAcentral lists this long non-coding RNA (4658 nucleotides) under Sus scrofa (pig). RNAcentral's name for it is "lncRNA (ENSSSCG00000056568.1)". The record is from RNAcentral. Lineage: Eukaryota; Metazoa; Chordata; Mammalia; Artiodactyla; Suidae.